This 379-nucleotide ribosomal RNA is filed under the name uncultured Actinomycetes bacterium. Its description in RNAcentral is "bacterial SSU rRNA". It matches the Rfam family "Bacterial small subunit ribosomal RNA", at positions 521 to 896 of the family's 1533-position model. The record is from RNAcentral. Lineage: Bacteria; Bacillati; Actinomycetota; Actinomycetes.
UAAUACGUAGGGAGCAAACGUUGUCCGGAUUUAUUGGGCGUAAAGGGCUCGUAGGCGGUUCAACAAGUCGGUCGUGAAAACUCGGGGCUCAACCCCGAGACGCCGGUCGAAACUGUUGUGACUAGAGUUCGGUAGAGGUGAGUGGAAUUCUCGGCGUAGCGGUGGAUGCGCAGAUAUCGAGAGGAACACCAUUAGCGAAGGCGGCUCACUGGGCCGAUACUGACGCUGAGGAGCGAAAGCGUGGGGAGCAAACAGGAUUAGAUACCCUGGUAGUCCACGCCGUAAACGAUGAACACUAGAUGUAGCGGACUGAUUCACGUCUGCUGUGCCGCAGCUAACGCAUUAAGUGUUCCGCCUGGGGAGUACGGCUGCAAGGCUA